GAUGAACGCUGGCGGCGUGCCUAAUACAUGCAAGUCGAGCGAACGGACGAGAAGCUUGCUUCUCUGAUGUUAGCGGCGGACGGGUGAGUAACACGUGGAUAACCUACCUAUAAGACUGGUAUAACUUCGGGAAACCGGAUCUAAUACCGUGUAAUAUUUUGAACCGCAUGGUUCAAAAGUGAAAGACGGUCUUGCUGUCACUUAUAGAUGGAUCCGCGCUGCAUUAGCUAGUUGGUAAGGUAACGGCUUACCAAGGCAACGAUGCAUAGCCGACCUGAGAGGGUGAUCGGCCACACUGGAACUGAGACACGGUCCAGAGUCCUACGGGAGGCAGCAGUAGGGAAUCUUCCGCAAUGGGCGCAAGCCUGACGGAGCAACGCCGCGUGAGUGAUGAAGGUCUUCGGAUCGUAGAACUCUGUUAUUAGGGAAGAACAUAUGUGUAAGUAACUGUGCACAUCUUGACGGUACCUAAUCAGAAAGCCACGGCUAACUACGUG
Molecule: ribosomal RNA, 497 nt
Filed under: uncultured bacterium
Lineage: Bacteria
Description: partial 16S ribosomal RNA
Rfam family: Bacterial small subunit ribosomal RNA
Source: RNAcentral